AGCGAACGCUGGCGGCGUGCCUAACACAUGCAAGUCGAACGUGAACGGGGCAACCCUAGUAAAGUGGCGCACGGGUGAGUAACACGUAGGUAAUCUACCUUAAAGUCUGGAAUAACCUGCCGAAAGGCGGGCUAAUACUGGAUAGAGCGACGAGACUUUUAAAGAGUCUUUCGGGAAAGGGAGCCUGUUAAGGGCACUUGCUUGAAGAUGAGCCUGCGUCCCAUUAGUUAGUUGGCGGGGUAAAAGCCCACCAAGACGAUGAUGGGUAGCUGGUCUGAGAGGAUGAUCAGCCACACUGGAACUGAAACACGGUCCUGACUCCUACGGGAGGCAGCAGUGGGGAAUCUUGCGCAAUGGACGAAAGUCUGACGCAGCCACGCCGCGUGAGUGAAGAAGGCCUUCGGGUUGUAAAGCUCUGUCGGGAGGGAAGAACAUUGGUUGGGUUAAUAGCUCAGUCAACUGACGGUACCUCCAAAGGAAGCACCGGCUAACUUCGUGCCAGCAGCCGCCGUAA
This 514-nucleotide ribosomal RNA is filed under the name uncultured bacterium. RNAcentral's name for it is "partial 16S ribosomal RNA". It matches the Rfam family "Bacterial small subunit ribosomal RNA", at positions 29 to 523 of the family's 1533-position model. The record is from RNAcentral.